UUCUGGCUCAGGAUGAACGCUGGCGGCGUGCUUAACACAUGCAAGUCGAACGGAGUUUUAAACGGAAGUCCUCGGAUGGAAGUUUAGAAACUUAGUGGCGGACGGGUGAGUAACGCGUGGGUAACCUGCCUCAUACAGGGGGAUAACAGUCGGAAACGAUUGCUAAAACCGCAUAACAUAGCGAAACCGCAUGAUUUUGCUAUCAAAUAUUUAUAGGUAUGAGAUGGGCCCGCGUCUGAUUAGCUAGUUGGUGGGGUAAUGGCCUACCAAGGCGACGAUCAGUAGCCGGCUUGAGAGAGUGACCGGCCACAUUGGGACUGAGACACGGCCCAAACUCCUACGGGAGGCAGCAGUGGGGAAUAUUGGACAAUGGGGGAAACCCUGAUCCAGCGAACCGCCGCGUGAGUGAAGAAGUAUUUCGGUAUGUAAAGCUCUAUCAGCAGGGAAGAUAAUGACAGUACCUGACUAAGAAGCCCCGGCUAACUACGUGCCAGCCGCUGC
RNAcentral lists this ribosomal RNA (501 nucleotides) under uncultured bacterium. RNAcentral describes it as "bacterial SSU rRNA". It matches the Rfam family "Bacterial small subunit ribosomal RNA", at positions 17 to 518 of the family's 1533-position model. The record is from RNAcentral.